Molecule: transfer RNA, 68 nt
Filed under: human gut metagenome
Rfam family: tRNA
About the family: Transfer RNA (tRNA) molecules are approximately 80 nucleotides in length.
Source: RNAcentral
CCGUAGCUCAAUUGGAUAGAGUAUUUGGCUACGAACCAAAAGGUUGGGGGUUCGAUUCCCUUCGGGUG